This 152-nucleotide ribosomal RNA is filed under the name Nectria sp. OTU590. RNAcentral's name for it is "5.8S ribosomal RNA". It matches the Rfam family "5.8S ribosomal RNA". From Rfam's summary of the family: 5.8S ribosomal RNA (5.8S rRNA) is a component of the large subunit of the eukaryotic ribosome. It is transcribed by RNA polymerase I as part of the 45S precursor that also contains 18S and 28S rRNA. Lineage: Eukaryota; Fungi; Ascomycota; Sordariomycetes; Hypocreales; Nectriaceae. The record is from RNAcentral.
AACUUUCAACAACGGAUCUCUUGGUUCUGGCAUCGAUGAAGAACGCAGCGAAAUGCGAUAAGUAAUGUGAAUUGCAGAAUUCCGUGAAUCAUCGAAUCUUUGAACGCACAUUGCGCCCGCCAGUAUUCUGGCGGGCAUGCCUGUUCGAGCGU